RNAcentral lists this ribosomal RNA (653 nucleotides) under Acarospora sp. Its description in RNAcentral is "SSU rRNA". It matches the Rfam family "Bacterial small subunit ribosomal RNA", at positions 385 to 1122 of the family's 1533-position model. The record is from RNAcentral. Lineage: Eukaryota; Fungi; Ascomycota; Lecanoromycetes; Acarosporales; Acarosporaceae.
GCUAGUUGUAUUAUUAGUUAAUGCAAGAUCGACUACGUCGACUAAAGUUCUAGGUAGAAUAAUGAUGAUGACAAUUUUUUACCUAUAUGUCUUGACCAAGUCUCGUGCCAGCAGUCGCGGUAAUACGUGGAAGACUAGUGUUAUUCAUCUUUAUUAGGUUUAAAGGGUACCUAGACGGUAUUUCUAGCCCAAAAUAGGGUACGGAUUUACUAGAGUUUUAUGUGAGGAGGGGAGUACUCGUGGAGUAGAGAUGAAAUUUUGUUAUACUAUGAGGUAACUGGUGGCGGCGAAAGCAACCUUCUAUGUAUAAACUGACGUUGAGGGACGAAGGCUUGGGUAGCAAAUAGGAUUAGAUACCCUAGUAGUCCAAGCAGACAAUUCUGAAUGCCAUAGAUUAGAUUUUUUUUGAUCUAUAAAUGAAAGUGUAAGCAUUCCACCUUAGGAGUAAUGUGGCAACACAGGAACUGAAAUCAUUAGACCGUUUCUGAAACCAGUAGUGAAGUAUGUUAUUUAAUUUGAUGGUCCACAAAAAACCUUACCACAACUUGAAUAUUUUUUAAUUAAUACAAGCGUUGCACGGCUGUCUUCAGUUAAUGUCGUGAGAUUUUGGUUAACUCCAUUAAUUAACGUAAACCCUUACUUUAUUUAUUUUU